GCUUGAUUUAAUGAGUCCUGGAGAAAUAAACAAGUAUUAGUUAUUACUGUGCGAUUACCAUUUCACCCUUUACUUUCUAAUAACUGGUCAUUUCUGUAGCGUAAAAGAAAGUGAUUGUGUAUCCUCCAUCCCCAGGUGUCCUACCUAUGGGAGGAGAUUCCAUGGCUGCAGCAGUGUCUCAGCCCCUCUCAGUCCUUCUGCUCAUGCACCCUCCAGACACGCCUCAAGAUGCUGCAGGCCAUCUCCCAGCUCCAGGGCAUGCUGGGAACUCGGGACCUGGAUCAGGUUUAUUUUGAGCCAAUCAAAGAUAAUUAUUGCAACGCCCUGCUGGUGUUGCUGAGGGACAUGAACGCAUGUCCCAAGUGGACCCAGCUGUGUAAGCUCCAGCUCCAACACAAGUCCAAUAUCGUCCCCCAAGGAACCCACGGCCUUGGACAUGCUGCUCAUCACCCUCCAUGAGAAGCUGGCCUACCACAGACGGAGCAGGAAGCUCCUCUCCCCAGGCCUGUACCUGGGCUACCUGAAGCUGUGUAGCGCCAUGGACCAGAUCAGAACCCUGGUGCCUCAAAAGCUGCCCAACGUCCUCU
Molecule: long non-coding RNA, 587 nt
Filed under: Salmo salar (Atlantic salmon)
Lineage: Eukaryota; Metazoa; Chordata; Actinopteri; Salmoniformes; Salmonidae
Description: lncRNA (ENSSSAG00000108623.1)
Source: RNAcentral